RNAcentral lists this ribosomal RNA (253 nucleotides) under uncultured bacterium. RNAcentral describes it as "partial 16S ribosomal RNA". It matches the Rfam family "Bacterial small subunit ribosomal RNA", at positions 524 to 776 of the family's 1533-position model. The record is from RNAcentral.
UACGUAGGUCGCAAGCGUUGUCCGGAUUUACUGGGCGUAAAGAGCGCGUAGGCGGCUUAACAAGUCACUUGUGAAAUCUCCGGGCUUAACUCGGAACGGCCAAGUGAAACUGUCAAGCUAGAGUGCAGAAGGGGCAAUCGGAAUUCUUGGUGUAGCGGUGAAAUGCGUAGAUAUCAAGAGGAACACCUGAGGUGAAGACGGGUUGCUGGGCUGACACUGACGCUGAGGCGCGAAAGCCAGGGGAGCAAACGGG